CCUACGUGAGGCAGCAGUGAGGAAUAUUGGUCAAUGGCCGGAAGGCUGAACCAGCCAUGCCGCGUGAAGGUCAGUGCCCUAUGGGCGUUAAACUUCUUUUGUGCGGGAGCAAUAAUGGUCACGUGUGGCCAGACGAGAGUACCGUACGAAUAAGCAUCGGCUAACUCCGUGCCAGCAGCCGCGGUAAUACGGGGGAUGCAAGCGUUAUCCGGAUUUAUUGGGUUUAAAGGGUGCGUAUGCUGUGAGGGAAGUCAGCGGUGAAAUGCCCCCGCUCAACGGGGUGAAGUGCCAUUGAUACUGCCUUGCUGUAAUGCGGAUGCGGUGGGAGGAAUGUGUGGUGUAGCGGUGAAAUGCAUAGAUAUCACACAGAACACCGAUUGCGAAGGCAUCUCACGAAUCCGCGAUUGACGCUGAUGCACGAAAGCGUGGGUAUCAAACAGGAUUAGAUACCCUAGUAGUC
RNAcentral lists this ribosomal RNA (460 nucleotides) under uncultured bacterium. RNAcentral's name for it is "partial 16S ribosomal RNA". It matches the Rfam family "Bacterial small subunit ribosomal RNA", at positions 338 to 795 of the family's 1533-position model. The record is from RNAcentral.